Mesocricetus auratus (golden hamster) is the source of this 732-nucleotide long non-coding RNA. RefSeq lists it as uncharacterized. The transcript is spliced from 4 exons. Lineage: Eukaryota; Metazoa; Chordata; Mammalia; Rodentia; Cricetidae. The record is from RefSeq and is a predicted model, not a curated record.
GCUGGACCCUUCAUCCAAUACGGCUAUCAUCCCAAUCAGCAGCUCAAAAAAGAGCAAGGAAAAAGGUGGCCCGUGGGCAACAGGAGCAGACGAGAUCUCUGCAGCUGCAAACCCAGGAACAGCUGAGGCGGAUGGCCACCACCAGGAGCUAGUUGUCCUGGCCAGUGUCAGGUGGAGGCCUGCCUUGAUGACUUUGAUUUUGGACCUCUAGCUUGUGGAGUUUCUGGAGAAGACACUUCUCUGGUUUUAACCUGUCCAGUUGUGGUACAGAAGCUCUAGGAAGCAAACAGCAGGAGGAAUCUACAUUUCCUCCUGGGGACGGUUGGCCGGAGCCCAGGACACCGGUGGGGGUCAGGGUGAGCCUCCAUCCACAAGAUGUUGCUCCUCCCUCCUGAGAUGCUGAUACGUCAGCGGCCACUGAGGAAGCCGAGAGCCCAGGGGUCAAGUAACUGCGGAAGCCAGAUGAUGAAUGCCCACUCAGUCUGGGCUCUAACGGGAAGCAUAAAAGGGCGUCCUGUCUUUUCUCUUGUUGGUGAAUGACCCUUGCCUUUCAUGUGUGCCGGAGGGGAAAGAAGGAGUCCAGAAAGCUGGAGUAACAAAGAGGCUCGGAGAAACAUUGCUGCCAAAACAAGCUUAACGCAGCACACCUACCUGAAGUGGCCUUCCUCGGCAGUGGAAGAGGUCGAACAUAAAAUACACAAAACCCGGAAUAAAUAUGUCAGCAGGAAGAAA